RNAcentral lists this ribosomal RNA (2167 nucleotides) under Chaetothyriales sp. MP-2014. RNAcentral describes it as "eukaryotic LSU rRNA". The stretch from base 753 to 2167 matches the Rfam family "Eukaryotic large subunit ribosomal RNA", at positions 1 to 1115 of the family's 3401-position model. The record is from RNAcentral. Lineage: Eukaryota; Fungi; Ascomycota; Eurotiomycetes; Chaetothyriales.
AUGGCUCAGUGAGGCCUUGGGACUGGCUCAGAGAGGUCGGCAACGACCACUCAGAGCCGGAAACUUGGUCAAACUUGGUCAUUUAGAGGAAGUAAAAGUCGUAACAAGGUUUCCGUAGGUGAGUAAAUAUCGCAAUUCCCCUUUUAACCGUUGAAUUUCCAAUAACUAACCCUUUUUUAGGUGAACCUGCGGAAGGAUCAUUAAAGAGUUAGGGUCUCUAUGGCCCGACCUCCCAACCCUAUGUGUAUUGAACCUGUGUUGCUUCGGCGGACCCGUCGUGAAAACGACCGCCGGAGGACUGUCGAGAGGCGUCCUCUGGCCCGCGUCCGUCGGUGGCCUACAUCUUCAAAAUUCUGAAUGAACCAUGUUUUACGCCUAAGUUCUUUUGAUAAAUUAAAGCAAAAACUUUCAACAACGGAUCUCUUGGUUCUGGCAUCGAUGAAGAACGCAGCGAAAUGCGAUAAGUAAUGCGAAUUGCAGAAUUCCAGUGAGUCAUCGAAUCUUUGAACGCACAUUGCGCCCUUUGGUAUUCCGAAGGGCAUGCCUGUUCGAGCGUCAUUAUCACCCCUCAAGCCCCUGGGCUUGGUGUUGGACGGCUUGGUCGUGAGAAUCGACCCCUCCUAAAGACAAUGACGGCGGCCUCGUGGAACCCCCGGUACACUGAGCUUCACUUUUGAGCACGUAUCGGAUGUCGAGGGUGCCCAGGUCACGGUCCUCUUCCUGCGAAUAGCGGGAAAAACACUUUUCAAGGUUGACCUCGGAUCAGGUAGGGAUACCCGCUGAACUUAAGCAUAUCAAUAAGCGGAGGAAAAGAAACCAACAGGGAUUGCCUCAGUAACGGCGAGUGAAGCGGCAACAGCUCAAAUUUGAAAUCUGGCCUCUUUGGGGUCCGAGUUGUAAUUUGUAGAGGAUGUUUCGGGUACCGCCUCGGUUUAAAUUUCUUGGAACAGAAUGUCAGAGAGGGUGAGAAUCCCGUCUUGGACCGGCGGUAGGGCCCGUGUGAAACUCCUUCGACGAGUCGAGUUGUUUGGGAAUGCAGCUCAAAAUGGGUGGUAUAUUUCAUCUAAAGCUAAAUAUUGGCCAGAGACCGAUAGCGCACAAGUAGAGUGAUCGAAAGAUGAAAAGCACUUUGAAAAGAGAGUUAAACAGUAUGUGAAAUUGUUGAAAGGGAAGCGCUUGCAACCAGACUUGAGCGCGGCGGUUCCCCCUUCCUUUUGGCUGGGUUACUCCGCCGCGUCCAGGCCAACAUCGGUUCUGGGGGUCGGUUAAAGGCCCUGGGAAUGUAUCUACCCUUCGGGCGUAGACUUAUAGCCCAGGGUGUCAUGCGGCCUCCCGGGACCGAGGAACGCGCUUCGGCUCGGAUGUUGGCGUAAUGGUUGUCAGCGACCCGUCUUGAAACACGGACCAAGGAGUCUAACAUCUAUGCGAGUGUUUGGGUGUCAAACCCGGAACGCGAAAUGAAAGUGAACGGAGGUAGGAAGCUUCGGCUGCACUAUCGACCGAUCCUGAUGUCUUCGGAUGGAUUUGAGUAAGAGCAUAGCUGUUGGGACCCGAAAGAUGGUGAACUAUGCCUGAAUAGGGUGAAGCCAGAGGAAACUCUGGUGGAGGCUCGCAGCGGUUCUGACGUGCAAAUCGAUCGUCAAAUUUGGGUAUAGGGGUAAGUUUUAAGUCCUUAUCCUUCUGAAAGAAUUUAAGCUAACAAUGUUCUCCAGGCGAAAGACUAAUCGAACCAUUCGACGACUACGAUCUUGUAGUGAGCUAUCUGGUGGUUAAGUGUAAUCCUGAAAGGGGUUGCAAGUGCCUUAUUCUGGCGCAACACUGUCAAAUUGCGGGGACUUCCUAAAGCUUUAGCGACCGCCUUACUUGUGAAAAUAGGUGUAGGCACCGGGUUAACGACCUAGGGUAUGGUAAAACUGCUAGAGAUAUUACAAUGGAUAAUCUGCAGCCAAGUCCUAAGGGUGUUCUUAUACCUAUGGAUGCAGUUCACAGACUAAAUGGCAGUGGGCUUUUAGGGAGAGAAAAAUCCCUUUAGGCUUAAGAUAUAGUCGGUCCCCCGGGGAGACCCGGGCGCACACGCUAAAUCUGGAAUGUAGAAUACUCCCGUCUCUUUAGAGGGGAGGCAUUCCAGACGUGAACGGUGCGGAUGCCCAUACGGCGUCGAGAAAUG